Small nuclear RNA from Hippopotamus amphibius kiboko, 107 nucleotides. Lineage: Eukaryota; Metazoa; Chordata; Mammalia; Artiodactyla; Hippopotamidae. The record is from RefSeq and is a predicted model, not a curated record.
GCGCUCACUUUGGCAGCACAGGUACUAAAAUUGAAACAAUGCAGAGAAGAUUCGCAUGGCCCCUGCACAAGGGUGAUGCACAGAUUAGUGAAAAGUUCCAUAUUUUU